ACUCAAAAUCCGUCAGCGUCAUUAGCUCCAGAACAGCUGACCCGGUCGAAACGAGCUAUUGGACUGCUAUGAACAGAGUCCGGUACGAGCCAGAAGCCAACUUCUCACCGCGGCUUCUCCGGAAAAUCGAGUUACUAUUCACUUUAAGUGAAACUUGGAAAUCGCGUAGAAUUUCCGUUUUAACUCGAUUUCGCCCGAAACUUGACGAGUGCUUUUGUAAUUAAAAUACACACAAAAACAUCGUCAACUGAGAGUUUAGCUACACUGCAAAAAUCUCAGUCCUUACAUUAUGUUUGUUAACGAUUUAUCUAUUACUCUUUAUGAAUCCCCAAUGUUUUAAGCUGAUGUGGCAUAAUCUCCUAAUUUUGAAUUUUUUUUAUUUAAUGAACCAUUUUAUUCUCUCUCUCUCAACAUACGUCCCCUCAUCUCCCCUAUUCAAUUUUCUUUUUUAUUUAGAAUGAGGCACUUUACUCUCUCUCUCUCAACAUACGUCUCCUCAUCUCCCCCAUUCUUUAUUUCUCGAUCCUUCCCACUCUGUGUCCCCUGUUUUCCUCCCCCUCCAUCUCCCCCUUCACCC
RNAcentral lists this long non-coding RNA (577 nucleotides) under Ananas comosus (pineapple). Its description in RNAcentral is "long non-coding RNA (ACOM_LNC037274)". Lineage: Eukaryota; Viridiplantae; Streptophyta; Magnoliopsida; Poales; Bromeliaceae. The record is from RNAcentral.